CCGGACGGUAGUGGCGGACGGGUGAGUAACGCGUGGGAACCUGCCCUUGAGUGGGGAACAACUGCUGGAAACGGCAGCUAAUACCGCAUACGCCCCGAGGGCUUCGGUCUUUGGGGGAAAGCUUUAUGCGCUCAAGGAGGGUCCCGCGUCCGAUUAGCUAGUUGGCGGGGUAACGGCCCACCAAGGCUUCGAUCGGUAGCUGGUCUGAGAGGAUGAUCAGCCACACUGGGACUGAGACACGGCCCAG
This 247-nucleotide ribosomal RNA is filed under the name uncultured bacterium. Its description in RNAcentral is "partial 16S ribosomal RNA". It matches the Rfam family "Bacterial small subunit ribosomal RNA", at positions 85 to 334 of the family's 1533-position model. The record is from RNAcentral.